This 249-nucleotide long non-coding RNA is filed under the name Helianthus annuus (common sunflower). RNAcentral describes it as "sRNA HanXRQr2_Chr05g0210911". The record is from RNAcentral. Lineage: Eukaryota; Viridiplantae; Streptophyta; Magnoliopsida; Asterales; Asteraceae.
UAUGUCUUUCUAACGCGUCUCGCCUGGCUAUUAAGAUACAUGAUGUUUGAUACUUUGAUGUAAUGCCUUACUGAUCCGCUAACAAGUGUGACUGAGUUUUAUUAUUCUUCACAAGAAAUUUGUAAACUGGUAAUGAUCCAAAGGUCUGUAGCUGGUGGUUUAGGUAUCAAUCUUGCACACCAGAUAUUGUCAUCAUUUUUGAAUCAGAUUGGAAUCCUCAGAAUGAUCUGCAGGUUUGGGAGUGUAUGA